RNAcentral lists this ribosomal RNA (393 nucleotides) under uncultured bacterium. Its description in RNAcentral is "partial 16S ribosomal RNA". It matches the Rfam family "Bacterial small subunit ribosomal RNA", at positions 523 to 918 of the family's 1533-position model. The record is from RNAcentral.
AUACGGAGGAUCCGAGCGUUAUCCGGAUUUAUUGGGUUUAAAGGGUGCGCAGGCGGGAGAUUAAGUCGGCGGUGAAAUUUUGCAGCUCAACUGUAAAAGUGCCUUCGAUACUGGUUUCCUUGGGUGUGGAUGAAGUAGGCGGAAUUUGUGGUGUAGCGGUGAAAUGCUUAGAUAUCACGAGGAACUCCGAUUGCGCAGGCAGCUUACUAAACCACUACUGACGCUCAGGCACGAAGGCGUGGGGAUCAAACAGGAUUAGAUACCCUGGUAGUCCACGCAGUAAACGAUGAUUACUGGCUGUUUGCGAUACAAUGUAAGCGGCUGAGCGAAAGCGUUAAGUAAUCCACCUGGGGAGUACGUUCGCAAGAAUGAAACUCAAAGGAAUUGACGGGG